This 114-nucleotide ribosomal RNA is filed under the name Acyrthosiphon pisum (pea aphid). Lineage: Eukaryota; Metazoa; Arthropoda; Insecta; Hemiptera; Aphididae. The record is from RNAcentral.
GGCAACGACCAUACCACGUUGAAUACACCAGUUCUCGUCCGAACAUUGAAGUUAAGCAACGUAGUUAGUACUUGGAUGGGGGUGACCGCUUGGGAACACUGCGUGCCGUUGGCA